This 404-nucleotide ribosomal RNA is filed under the name Fusobacteriota bacterium. RNAcentral describes it as "Fusobacteria bacterium partial 16S ribosomal RNA". It matches the Rfam family "Bacterial small subunit ribosomal RNA", at positions 355 to 776 of the family's 1533-position model. Lineage: Bacteria; Fusobacteriati; Fusobacteriota. The record is from RNAcentral.
UGGGGAAUAUUGCACAAUGGAGGGAACUCUGAUGCAGCGACGCCGCGUGAGUGAUGAAGGAAUUCGUUUCGUAAAACUCUGUUCUAUGGGAAGAAAAGGACUGUACCAUAGGAGAAAGCUCCGGCUAAAUACGUGCCAGCAGCCGCGGUAAUACGUAUGGAGCGAGCGUUGUCCGGAAUUAUUGGGCGUAAAGGGUGCGCAGGCGGCUUUACAAGUUGGAUGUGAAAUAUUGUGGCUCAACCACAAACGUGCAUCCAAAACUGCAAAGCUUGAGUUAAGGAGAGGUAAGUGGAAUUCCUGGUGUGGCGGUGGAAUGCGUAGAAAUCAGGAGAAAUACCGGUGGCGAAGGCGACUUACUGGACUUAAACUGACGCUCAGGCACGAAAGCGUGGGGAGCAAACAGG